AGUGGCGGACGGGUGGGUAACGCGUGGGUAACCUGCCUCAUACAGGGGGAUAACAGUUAGAAAUGACUGCUAAUACCGCAUAAGACCACAGCACCGCAUGGUGCAGGGGUAAAAACUCCGGUGGUAUGAGAUGGACCCGCGUCUGAUUAGGUAGUUGGUGGGGUAACGGCCUACCAAGCCGACGAUCAGUAGCCGACCUGAGAGGGUGACCGGCCACAUUGGGACUGAGACACGGUCCAA
Molecule: ribosomal RNA, 240 nt
Filed under: uncultured bacterium
Lineage: Bacteria
Description: partial 16S ribosomal RNA
Rfam family: Bacterial small subunit ribosomal RNA
Source: RNAcentral